CACACACACACACAAGAUAAAUUCUUGAUGUGGGAAAUUUAAGUAUGGACCUUAUCCUUGGCCCUUCCAGGAAGGACGUCAAAACCAAAAUUUGUCAAGAGUAGUCAGUCAGAGACGCCGGCGCCUCAGAGAUUGAAGAUGACCGGGACCAGACGAUGCUGAUGACGACGAAGACGAAGACGACGCCGACGACGCCGACGUCGACGACGACGACGCCGACGACUAUGACUACAAGAAGGAAUUUCCAAGGUAAGAUAUACGACGAAAAUUUCUCUCCUAACCAAGAAUCUU
Vespula pensylvanica (western yellowjacket) is the source of this 291-nucleotide long non-coding RNA. RefSeq lists it as uncharacterized. The record is from RefSeq and is a predicted model, not a curated record. NCBI's taxonomy places the organism in Eukaryota, Metazoa, Arthropoda, Insecta, Hymenoptera, Vespidae. The transcript has 3 exons.